This 107-nucleotide small nuclear RNA is filed under the name Sorex araneus (European shrew). Lineage: Eukaryota; Metazoa; Chordata; Mammalia; Eulipotyphla; Soricidae. The record is from RNAcentral.
GUGCUCACUUCGACAGCACAUAUACUAAAAUUGGAACGAUACAGAGAAGAUUAGCAUGGUCCCUGAACAAAGAUGACACACAAAUUCGUGAAGCAUUCCAUAUUUAA